This 253-nucleotide ribosomal RNA is filed under the name uncultured bacterium. Its description in RNAcentral is "partial 16S ribosomal RNA". It matches the Rfam family "Bacterial small subunit ribosomal RNA", at positions 524 to 776 of the family's 1533-position model. The record is from RNAcentral.
UACAGAGGGUGCGAGCGUUAAUCGGAAUUACUGGGCGUAAAGCGUGCGUAGACGGCUAUCUAAGUCGGGUGUGAAAGCCCCGGGCUCAACCUGGGAAUUGCAUUCGAGACUGAAUAGCUAGGGUACGGUAGAGGGAAGUGGAAUUUCCGGUGUAGCGGUGAAAUGCGUAGAUAUCGGCAGGAACACCCAGGGGGAAACCAGUCGACUGGGCAUCUACUGACGCUGAGGUGCGAGAGAGUGGGGAGCGAACCGG